GUGGGGAAUUUUGGACAAUGGGCGAAAGCCUGAUCCAGCCAUGCCGCGUGCAGGAUGAAGGCCUUCGGGUUGUAAACUGCUUUUGUACGGAACGAAAAGACUCUGGUUAAUACCUGGGGUCCAUGACGGUACCGUAAGAAUAAGCACCGGCUAACUACGUGCCAGCAGCCGCGGUAAUACGUAGGGUGCAAGCGUUAAUCGGAAUUACUGGGCGUAAAGCGUGCGCAGGCGGUUAUAUAAGACAGAUGUGAAAUCCCCGGGAUCAACCUGGGAACUGCAUUUGUGACUGUAUAGCUAGAGUACGGCAGAGGGGGAUGGAAUUCCGCGUGUAGCAGUGAAAUGCGUAGAUAUGCGGAGGAACACCGAUGGCGAAGGCAAUCCCCUGGGCCUGUACUGACGCUCAUGCACGAAAGCGUGGGGAGCAAACAGGAUUAGAAACCCGUGUAGUCC
This 450-nucleotide ribosomal RNA is filed under the name uncultured bacterium. RNAcentral describes it as "bacterial SSU rRNA". It matches the Rfam family "Bacterial small subunit ribosomal RNA", at positions 354 to 796 of the family's 1533-position model. The record is from RNAcentral.